This 1545-nucleotide long non-coding RNA is filed under the name Macaca fascicularis (crab-eating macaque). RNAcentral describes it as "lncRNA (ENSMFAG00000061401.1)". The record is from RNAcentral. Lineage: Eukaryota; Metazoa; Chordata; Mammalia; Primates; Cercopithecidae.
UGGGGAAGGCAGAGAUUGGAGAGCACCUGUAGAGGCUCUAAUGCUGGCCACGGGCCCUGGUUGUGACAGUGGUGAGACCUGGGUGCUCCCCUGAGUGUAGAAGCUAAGCCUGGCCAGAGAAGCAAGACAAACACACACAUACGCACACACACAGGCACACACACAUGCACAAACACACUGCAUGCAGACGUGUCAGUUCAGGGGGUAGAGGACACUGACUCUGGGCCCUCUUGACCCAAGCAGGCUCCAGUUGUGCUGGGUUGUGUCACCCCACGAUGUCACUGUUGCUGAGCCCCCAUCGCCUCUGUGUUGUGGAGCAGUUAGAGGUACACAGCAGAGUCCGUGAGUGGCUCUGCAUGAAGGACUGUUUUCUACAUGAGAAGCACAUCUCAGCACAGCUGACUCAUCAGACUCAGCAAUUCCAUUCUGAAUCUCCUCUGGACACCCCCAGGACCACCAGGACAACCCCAUCAGGGCCCUGUCACCAGGCCCAGUCUGGCUCCAUGAUAACCAAGACGCAGGUCCAGAGACAAGCGCCCUGCAUGGUGCCUGCAUGUGACUCCCCUUGGUGGGUAGUGACCAGCUCACCAUGGAAGAAGCCAGGGCAGCAUGCGGCCAUCUGCCCUGCAGCCCCAGAUGACUCCUGGGCCUUAAGAAGUCAUUCUUAAAGGGAAAGCUGGUCACUUUGAGGUCCCUGGAAGGAAGGGUGAAUGUGUCAUCCCAACAGCCCUGGCAGCCAGCAGCAUGCCAUACAUCUUCUCACCCGAUCUUUGUGACAGAGGCCACCUUCUGGGGCACAAGUCCCAUACCUAAAGGGUCCUAUCUCAGUCGGCCUCAUCCUGAGCCCUGGGAUGGGAGAGGCACCAUGCACCCCCCUGCAGCAGCCAGGAUUACCACCCAGGGGACUCAUCCUUCUGUGGCCCUGGCCAGACUUAGAAUUUGGCCCAAGACAGGACAAGCUCAGUCAGAGCAGCUUGUCAGUACCCAGAGUCUAUGUAUGCCAGACAUGGCCAAGCUGGCUCAAAGAGCAACCAGCCACCUCUGCAAGGGUGUGCCAGGAGCAGGUGGACCAGCCACCAACCUCAUCCACUCAAGUAAACAGAGAUGGCCAGCUUCUCACACCCUGAGUGACCACCACCUGACAGCUGAUGAAGUGGAGGCCUGAGGAAAAGCAGAUGGCACUGGGGCCCUGCUUCCAGGGCAGAAUAACUGAUUGACCCUGACUGGCAGUGAGUUGGUGACUGGUCCACCUGCUCCUGGCACACCCUUGCAGAGGUGGCUGGUUGCUCUUUGAGCCAGCUUGGCCUUGCCUGGCAUGCACAGGCCUCAGUGCAACAACUGUGCUGCAAAUGGAGUCACAUAGAGGAUAUGAGCAGCAGCCUCAGGAGCAGGCUGUGCACUGCCUUUGGGGCUCCAGCCCAUGCAUCAGGGCUUCUACAGCACUGUGGGCUUCUUGGGUGCCAAGAGGCAGACCACAGACCAUCCUGAGGAGGACUCUGGUAAGAGCUUCCUUGUGUAUGUGGAUGAUGUCCAGGAUGUUGGCCU